UACGUAGGGUGCAAGCGUUAAUCGGAAUUACUGGGCGUAAAGCGUGCGCAGGCGGUUUUGUAAGUCUGUCGUGAAAGCCCCGGGCUCAACCUGGGAAUUGCGAUGGAGACUGCAAGUCUUGAAUCUGGCAGAGGGGGGUAGAAUUCCACGUGUAGCAGUGAAAUGCGUAGAGAUGUGGAGGAACACCGAUGGCGAAGGCAGCCCCCUGGGUCAAGAUUGACGCUCAUGCACGAAAGCGUGGGGAGCAAACAGG
Molecule: ribosomal RNA, 253 nt
Filed under: uncultured bacterium
Lineage: Bacteria
Description: partial 16S ribosomal RNA
Rfam family: Bacterial small subunit ribosomal RNA
Source: RNAcentral